GGCGCGUGCUACACAUGCAAGUCGAGCGAAGUCGAUUUUGUAGGAAGUUUUCGGUAUGGAAAUCGAAAUUGACUUAGCGGCGGACGGGUGAGUAACGACGUGGGUAAUCUGCCUUAUACAGGGGGAGUAACAGUUAGAAAUGACUGCUAAUACCGCAUAAGCGCACGGGAACGCAUGUUUCUGUGUGAAAAACUCCGGCAGUAUAAGAUGAGCCCGCGUCUGAUUAGCUGGUUGGUGGGGUAACGGGCCGUACCAAGGCGACGAUCAGUAGCCGGCCUGAGAGGGUGAACGGCCACAUUGGGACUGAGACACGGCCCAAACUCCUACGGGAGGCAGCAGUGGGGAAUAUUGCACAAUGGGGGAAACCCGUGAUGCAGCGACGCCGCGUGAGUGAAGAAGUAUUUCGGUAUGUAAAGCUCUAUCAGCAGGGAAGAAAAAGACGGUACCUGACUAAGAAGCCCCGGCUAACUACGUG
This 475-nucleotide ribosomal RNA is filed under the name uncultured Lachnospiraceae bacterium. Its description in RNAcentral is "bacterial SSU rRNA". It matches the Rfam family "Bacterial small subunit ribosomal RNA", at positions 41 to 507 of the family's 1533-position model. Lineage: Bacteria; Bacillati; Bacillota; Clostridia; Lachnospirales; Lachnospiraceae. The record is from RNAcentral.